CUCUGUGGACCCGACUGGCCUUGAACUCAGAGAUCCACUUGCCUCUACUUCCCAAGGGCUGGGAUUAAAGGCGUGCACCACCACCACCGUCCAGUCACAGGCAGCUGUUUUAAAACUUUAAGAUUUAUUGGUGCAACAUCUGUUGAAAACGCACCGUGGGUCCUUAAAACUAAACGAAGAAAAACAAAAACAAAAAUAAAAGAGUCCACCUGGCCCAGUAACCUGCGUACUCACCCUGAGAUCUGAAAGUUGCCUGAAGCCAACGGCACCCACCCCUCCCAUUCUGGAAGUACUUUUAAGAUAGCCAGAAGGGAGAAGCAGGCCAAGUGGCCAACAUGGGUGGACGCAGAUCAAACACAGCCUAGUCGUCACAUGGCGGAUGCUUCUCAGCGGACCAUAACACAGGACGCACAGAGCAUCCUUUCUCACGUCAGUAAUUUUGGCACUCAGGAGGAGGAGGAGGAGGCAGGAGGAUCAGGAAUUCAAAUUUAUCCCUGUCUAACAGAUUUUGAGGACACCCUGGGCUAUGCAAGACCCCGUCUCAUCUGGGUACUGUGUCAUAGGCCUUUAAUCCCAGCACUUGGGAGGCAAAGGCGGUAGAUCUCUAAGUUUGAGGCCAGCCUGGUCUACAGAGAGAGUUUGGGGAGAGCUGGGGCUACACAGAGAAACCCUGUUUUGAA
RNAcentral lists this long non-coding RNA (680 nucleotides) under Mus pahari (shrew mouse). RNAcentral describes it as "lncRNA (MGP_PahariEiJ_G0032952.1)". Lineage: Eukaryota; Metazoa; Chordata; Mammalia; Rodentia; Muridae. The record is from RNAcentral.